Molecule: ribosomal RNA, 253 nt
Filed under: uncultured bacterium
Lineage: Bacteria
Description: partial 16S ribosomal RNA
Rfam family: Bacterial small subunit ribosomal RNA
Source: RNAcentral
UACAGAGGUCUCAACCGUUGUUCGGAUUCAUUGGGCGUAAAGGGCGUGUAGGCGGACUGUUAAGUCUGGCGUGAAAGCUCCCGGCUAAACCGGGGGAGGUCGUUGGAUACUGGCAGACUAGAGGAUGGUAGAGGCGUGUGGAAUUCCGGGUGUAGUGGUGAAAUGCGUAGAGAUCCGGAGGAACACCAGUGGCGAAGGCGACACGCUGGGCCAUACCUGACGCUAAAGCGCGACAGCAUGGGGAGCAAACGGG